GACGAACGCUGGCGGCGUGCUUAACACAUGCAAGUCGAACGGUGAAGCUCCAGCUUGCUGGAGUGGAUCAGUGGCGAACGGGUGAGUAACCCGUGAGCAACCUGCCCCUGACUCUGGAAUAAGCGCUGGAAACGGCGUCUAAUACUGGAUACGAGAAGGGUCCGCAUGGGCACCUUCUGGAAAGUUUUGCGGUUGGGGAUGGGCUCGCGGCCUAACAGCUUGUUGGUGAGGGAAUGGCUCACCAAGUCGAAGACGGGUAGCCGGCCUGAGAGGGCGACCGGCCACACUGGGACUGAGACACGGCCCAGACUCCUACGGGAGGCAACAGUGGGGAAUAUUGCACAAUGGGCGAAAGCCUGAUGCAGCGACGCCGCGUGAGGGAUGACGGCCUUCGGGUUGUAAACCUCUUUCAGCAGGGAAGAAGCGAAAGUGACGGUACCUGCAGAAGAAGCACCGGCUAACUACGUG
RNAcentral lists this ribosomal RNA (468 nucleotides) under uncultured bacterium. RNAcentral describes it as "partial 16S ribosomal RNA". It matches the Rfam family "Bacterial small subunit ribosomal RNA", at positions 28 to 507 of the family's 1533-position model. The record is from RNAcentral.